CAUGCCGUAAACGUUGGGCACUAGGUGUGGGGGACAUUCCACGUUUUCCGCGCCGUAGCUAACGCAUUAAGUGCCCCGCCUGGGGAGUACGGCCGCAAGGCUAAAACUCAAAGGAAUUGA
RNAcentral lists this ribosomal RNA (120 nucleotides) under uncultured bacterium. Its description in RNAcentral is "partial 16S ribosomal RNA". It matches the Rfam family "Bacterial small subunit ribosomal RNA", at positions 796 to 913 of the family's 1533-position model. The record is from RNAcentral.